Molecule: ribosomal RNA, 468 nt
Filed under: uncultured bacterium
Lineage: Bacteria
Description: partial 16S ribosomal RNA
Rfam family: Bacterial small subunit ribosomal RNA
Source: RNAcentral
GACGAACGCUGGCGGCGUGCUUAACACAUGCAAGUCGAACGGAAAGGCCCUGCUUUUGUGGGGUGCUCGAGUGGCGAACGUGUGUGUAACACGUGAGUAACCUUCCCUUGACUUUGGGAUAACCUCAGGAAACUGGUGCUAAUACCUGAUAGGAGCUCCUGCUGCCUGGUGGGGGUUGGACAGUUUCGGCGGUUGGGGAUGUACUCGCGGCUUAUCAGCUUGUUGGUGGGGUAGUGGCUUACCAAGGCUUUGACGGGUAGCCGGCCUGAGAGGGUGACCGGCCACAGUGGGACUGAGAUACGGCCAAGACUGCUACGGGAGGAAGCAGUGGGGAAUAUUGCACAAUGGGCGGAAGCCGGAUGCAGCAACGCCGCGUGCGGGAUGACGGCCUUCGGGUUGCAAACCGCUUUCGCCUGUGACGAAGCGUGAGUGACGGUAAUGGGUAAAGAAGCACCGGCUAACUACGUG